GGCGGCCGCGGCCAGCGGCCACGCCACGAGACGACGACGGCGACGACGGCGACGCGAAUGAUUGGUAGGAGAGAGGGGCGUACGGCGGGGCGAUCCGGGCAGGGCGGAAGGCGACAACGGGAAGUGGGCCGCGACAAGAUCCAUGAUCCGAGGAGAUGGAAAAUACAGGGAGGUUAGAGAAAGAUAUUUUUACAGUGAGAUGGCGUUGGCCAAAACUGGAUGUCUGCAAUGCUGCAGCCAAAGCCAUGACAUUGUCUAUACAGUACAUGUCAGCAAGUGGAACGCAGAACAGUUACUCUGAGAAGGUACCCAGAUGGGUCAUGAGAGCAGCUCAAUGCCUGGUGUUGGCAGUCAUGAUGUGGUGAGAUAUAAUUUCAAGACGACAAUGCCCUUAGGUUGGUGGAACAUCCAUUAUAAGGAGGAUUCGAAAUAAGUGGGGCAGUAAUUUGUUUGAUGAUGCUUUUUAUUUGGUCUGCCGUACCAGUCCACCAAUCCCUGUUAUACAUUUGGGUAUUAUCAGAAGAGCACAGUCACGUGAUGCACAUGUGAUGCCAUGGAUUCUUGGACGAAUGGCAUGAUCAUCGAUUCAUGGUGCCUGCUCUUGGCAUCUGACACGACAGCAUUUCUUGGAAGGAAAAGCGAGUGUUUCCCAAAUGACGCUAAGGCCUUAAAAGGAAGAUGACAAACAAACAUCUGCGGGGGGAAAUGUGCAGCUGAGGGGUUGGAUGUUGUGCAGGCAUGAGUUUUUUCCUUUUGCCCAAUCGAGCUUGGCUUUGGGAAGAAGAGAAAGGCGUUUGAUGGAGGCAGGUCCGUCCGUCCGUCCGUCCCUCAGGUGGGGAGAAGAGCCUGUGCUCCACCUGGCCAGUGAAGUGGUGGCUGGCUGCCCUGUCAAUGCCUUUGCCUUUUUUCACAAAAGAGGUAAAAAGGAGCUGUGCACUUGAAACUUUGAUGCUGGCAAGCCUACACGUACCGGGCAUUAUGGGAGUACCUCCUGUCUGUGGAGCUUGUGAGAUGAUGCAGCAGCAGCAGCAGCAACAGCAACAGUCAAUUUGGGUAUAAGUAAAUCCUGCUGUGCAAUGCAAUGCACACUGAGCAGUGGGUGCCCCUUUUUCUUUUUCUGCAGAUCAAUGAUUGGGAGUUUUGAGGCAUAUGGUAGGUACUUUAUGGUUUCUUUUACCCCUUAGGCGGCCGCUGUAGGGCACUAGCUGAGCUUGUGCCCCAGAUUGUUUGCAACACAACACAGUUAAGCAGCAUGAGUCCAGGAACUGGGAUUUGAGAGUGAGCAAUAUACUACUAUGUAGAAUUCUGCUGCGGCUGCAAGGCAAAAACAUUCCCUGUGCACAAGGACAAGUGUGCCUGUAUCAUCAUAUUGGAAGCAUGCGUUUGUUUAUUAAUAAUCUCGCCAUGGAAACCGGUAAGCAGCAGAUCCCAAGAGCCUCGCCUUGGCUGUCCCAAGUACUCCCCCCACAAGCACAAGCACUGGAGUCCAAUCCACUCCAGCAGCGGCAGCGGCAAGCAGGGCAGGUGGCCAUCUCAUCUCAUCUCAUCCCACCCCAUUUCCAUGCACCCUCUUGUGUGAUGCAAACAAUGUUGCAGCCAGCGCAGUCUGACAGAGGAGAUGAACAGUUCGCAGGCCCCUCCACCAGGUCCGGUGCGGCAGGCAGCGCCUUUAUCGGCCGCUACAGUCCUGGUCCUCGGUCGGCCCGCGAUCGCCCGCCCGCCCUUGCCAGUGGUGAGUGACAGCUUGCCCCGGCGCCGUACGGUACAUGUCCAUGUGUGCUGCGUUGUUUACAGAGGAGGUGUUAGCAAUGGAGCUGCUGAUGAUGCAGCGACGCUGAGCAGAGCAGAGCAGGCGCACACCACCAUUGCUAUGCCUAUGUUAUGAUCAAAUCUAUCUUCUACCCUUCGUCUAUCUGCUGCUUGAUGCUGCUGCUGCUGCUGCUAUCUUGGCUGCCGUGCUUGCUCCAACUGUGGCACACCAUUUGUUCCCUUGGCAAGGCACUCUUAAAUGGCCCGCACCCAGCGGUGCCCAUCUCUUCCUUUAAUGGCUUCUACUCUGCAUCGCGGGAGAAGGACCACAAGAAUGACAGAGAAA
Triticum dicoccoides is the source of this 2095-nucleotide long non-coding RNA. RefSeq lists it as uncharacterized. The transcript has 5 exons. NCBI's taxonomy places the organism in Eukaryota, Viridiplantae, Streptophyta, Magnoliopsida, Poales, Poaceae. The record is from RefSeq and is a predicted model, not a curated record.